RNAcentral lists this ribosomal RNA (338 nucleotides) under uncultured Streptococcus sp. Its description in RNAcentral is "bacterial SSU rRNA". It matches the Rfam family "Bacterial small subunit ribosomal RNA", at positions 1043 to 1382 of the family's 1533-position model. The record is from RNAcentral. Lineage: Bacteria; Bacillati; Bacillota; Bacilli; Lactobacillales; Streptococcaceae.
UCAUGGUUGUCGUCAGCUCGUGUCGUGAGAUGUUGGGUUAAGUCCCGCAACGAGCGCAACCCCUAUUGUUAGUUGCCAUCAUUCAGUUGGGCACUCUAGCGAGACUGCCGGUAAUAAACCGGAGGAAGGUGGGGAUGACGUCAAAUCAUCAUGCCCCUUAUGACCUGGGCUACACACGUGCUACAAUGGUUGGUACAACGAGUUGCGAGUCGGUGACGGCGAGCUAAUCUCUUAAAGCCAAUCUCAGUUCGGAUUGUAGGCUGCAACUCGCCUACAUGAAGUCGGAAUCGCUAGUAAUCGCGGAUCAGCACGCCGCGGUGAAUACGUUCCCGGGCCUU